UGGGGAAUAUUGCACAAUGGGGGAAACCCUGAUGCAGCGACGCCGCGUGGAGGAAGAAUGUCUUCGGAUUGUAAACUCCUGUCCUCAGGGACGAUAAUGACGGUACCUGAGGAGGAAGCACCGGCUAACUACGUGCCAGCAGCCGCGGUAAAACGUAGGGUGCAAGCGUUGUCCGGAAUUACUGGGUGUAAAGGGAGCGCAGGCGGAUCGGCAAGUUGGAAGUGAAAACUAUGGGCUUAACCCAUAGAUUGCUUUCAAAACUGCUGAUCUUGAGUGGUGUAGAGGUAGGCGGAAUUCCCGGUGUAGCGGUGGAAUGCGUAGAUAUCGGGAGGAACACCAGUGGCGAAGGCGGCCUACUGGGCACUAACUGACGCUGAGGCUCGAAAGCAUGGGUAGCAAACA
Molecule: ribosomal RNA, 402 nt
Filed under: uncultured Oscillospiraceae bacterium
Lineage: Bacteria; Bacillati; Bacillota; Clostridia; Eubacteriales; Oscillospiraceae
Description: bacterial SSU rRNA
Rfam family: Bacterial small subunit ribosomal RNA
Source: RNAcentral